AUUGAACGCUGGCGGCAGGCCUAACACAUGCAAGUCGAGCGGAUGAAGGGAGCUUGCUCCUGGAUUCAGCGGCGGACGGGUGAGUAAUGCCUAGGAAUCUGCCUGGUAGUGGGGGAUAACGUCCGGACACGGGCGCUAAUACCGCAUACGUCCUGAGGGAGAAAGUGGGGGAUCUUCGGACCUCACGCUAUCAGAUGAGCCUAGGUCGGAUUAGCUAGUUGGUGGGGUAAAGGCCUACCAAGGCGACGAUCCGUAACUGGUCUGAGAGGAUGAUCAGUCACACUGGAACUGAGACACGGUCCAGACUCCUACGGGAGGCAGCAGUGGGGAAUAUUGGACAAUGGGCGAAAGCCUGAUCCAGCCAUGCCGCGUGUGUGAAGAAGGUCUUCGGAUUGUAAAGCACUUUAAGUUGGGAAGAAGGGCAGUAAGUUAAUACCUUGCUGUUUUGACGUUACCAACAGAAUAAGCACCGGCUAACUUCGCG
Molecule: ribosomal RNA, 484 nt
Filed under: uncultured bacterium
Lineage: Bacteria
Description: partial 16S ribosomal RNA
Rfam family: Bacterial small subunit ribosomal RNA
Source: RNAcentral